Molecule: ribosomal RNA, 257 nt
Filed under: uncultured bacterium
Lineage: Bacteria
Description: partial 16S ribosomal RNA
Rfam family: Bacterial small subunit ribosomal RNA
Source: RNAcentral
UACGUAGGGUGCGAGCGUUGUCCGGAAUUACUGGGCGUAAAGAGUUCGUAGGCGGUUUGUCGCGUCGUUUGUGAAAACCCGGGGCUCAACUUCGGGCUUGCAGGCGAUACGGGCAGACUUGAGUGUUUCAGGGGAGGACUGGAAUUCCUGGUGUAGCGGUGGAAAUGACGCAGAUAUCAGGAGGAACACCGGUGGCGAAGGCGGGUCUCUGGGCCGUAACUGACGCUGGAGGAGCGAAAGCGUGGGGAGCGAACAGG